UAGAAAAUAAUAUAAGGGAAGUAUGGAGGGUUUUGAUCUCUCUAGUGCGGGUUCGAUUCCUGCUUUUCUAA
RNAcentral lists this transfer RNA (71 nucleotides) under Tachycineta albilinea. RNAcentral's name for it is "tRNA-Gln". It matches the Rfam family "tRNA". Rfam says of the family: Transfer RNA (tRNA) molecules are approximately 80 nucleotides in length. RNAcentral also lists the same sequence under 4 other names. The record is from RNAcentral. Lineage: Eukaryota; Metazoa; Chordata; Aves; Passeriformes; Hirundinidae.